RNAcentral lists this ribosomal RNA (468 nucleotides) under uncultured bacterium. RNAcentral describes it as "partial 16S ribosomal RNA". It matches the Rfam family "Bacterial small subunit ribosomal RNA", at positions 28 to 507 of the family's 1533-position model. The record is from RNAcentral.
GACGAACGCUGGCGGCGUGCUUAACACAUGCAAGUCGAACGGAAAGGCCCUGCUUUUGUGGGGUGAUCGAGUGGCGAACGGGUGCGUAACACGUGAGUAACCUGCCCUUGACUUUGGGAUAACUUAAGGAAACUGGGGCUAAUACCGGAUAGGAGAUCAUGCUGCAUGGUGGGGGUUGGAAAGUUUCGGCGGUUGGGGAUGGACUAGCGGCUUAUCAGCUUGUUGGUGGGGUAGUGGCUUACCAAGGAUUUGAAGGGUAGGCGGCCUUAGAGGGUGGCCGGGCACCAUGGGACUGAGAUACGGCCCAGACUCCUACGGGGGGCAGCAGGGGGGAAUAUUGCACAAUGGGCGGAAGCCUGAUGCAGCAACGCCGCGUGCGGGAUGACGGCCUGCGGGUUGUAAACCGCUUUCGCCUGUUACGAAGCGUGAGUGACGGUAAUGAGUAAAGAAGCACCGGCUAACUACGUG